UCCCUCUUAGCUCAGUGGUAGAGCGUGUCACUCGUACUCUACAUGUACCAUGACAAGGUCAGUCGUUCAAUCCGGCUAGCGGGAA
Non-coding RNA from Armillaria novae-zelandiae, 85 nucleotides. The record is from the annotation of a GenBank genome assembly. NCBI's taxonomy places the organism in Eukaryota, Fungi, Basidiomycota, Agaricomycetes, Agaricales, Physalacriaceae.